AUACGUAGGGGGCGAGCGUUGUCCGGAAUUAUUGGGCGUAAAGGGUUCGCAGGCGGUCCUUUAAGUCAGAUGUGAAAUGCAUAGGCUUAACCUAUGUUAGCAUUUGAAACUGGAGGACUUGAGUUAAGGAGAGGAAAGUGGAAUUCCUAGUGUAGCGGUGAAAUGCGUAGAUAUUAGGAGGAAUACCAGUGGCGAAGGCGACUUUCUGGACUUAUACUGACGCUGAGGAACGAAAGCGUGGGGAGCAAACAGGAUUAGAUACCCUGGUAGUCCACGCCGUAAACGAUGAGUGCUAGGUGUCGGGUGUCAAAGCUCGGUGCCGCAGCUAACGCAUUAAGCACUCCGCCUGGGGAGUACGUACGCAAGUAUGAA
This 372-nucleotide ribosomal RNA is filed under the name uncultured bacterium. RNAcentral describes it as "bacterial SSU rRNA". It matches the Rfam family "Bacterial small subunit ribosomal RNA", at positions 523 to 898 of the family's 1533-position model. The record is from RNAcentral.